CAUUUUUAAUCAUGACUAACAUUCCUCUUUCCCCUUCAACUAAGCGUAAAGCUUGUGCUAAGAGUGGGUACGACAAUAGUGCAACGGGUGGUGUUUGAACCGUCAACCUUUUGGAUUUCGGUCCGCUCCUAUAACCGUUGAGCUAUUGAGGCCUAUAAAGUUGAAAU
Molecule: long non-coding RNA, 167 nt
Organism: Maniola jurtina (meadow brown)
Lineage: Eukaryota; Metazoa; Arthropoda; Insecta; Lepidoptera; Nymphalidae
Exons: 3
Source: RefSeq, a predicted model, not a curated record